AUUGGUUCUCGGACUUAUGUAUUUAUGCAUUAUGGUUUUCUACCCCUUGAGGCAGUUGAUUUUCAAAACGGAGUUUCCGAGUGGGAAACAGUUUUAAAAAGGUUUUCGAAUGAUUUUUAUGGAUAAUUAAUUAGAGUUUAAAAAUCAAAGCUUCCGGGUGGGAGUACUUUUAAAUAGGAUGCUUGUUGUACUAUGCAUUGCAUCAUCCAGCACCUAAGGAGUGUUUAGAGGCAUGCAUCAUCUCUGAGGAACGCUAGCUGUAUGUAAACGUAUCGCAUUUAGGGCAUGUUUGUUUCGACGUAAGUAGACUUGGGGUGGAAGUGGACUUGGAGUUGAAGUGGAGUUGGGGUGAAAAUUAGUUCACUUCUGCUGUUUGUUUCUAACUGUGGAAGUGCAGUUCUGUGAGUUCUGUUGUUUGUUUGGUAGGAAGUAGAUGACGUAAAAAGUGUAUAUCUCCACCCCUGGUAUAGUUACCUCCGAAGUGAAAUUAUUGUCUAUUUGUAACUUAUAGUUAAUAAUAAAUUAUAAUAAAUAAAAAUUAAUAUAAUUAUAUAUGUAUAUAAUUAUAUAUAUAUGUAUAAUUAUAAAAUAAAAUUUUAAAAAAUUAUAUUUAAUAAUCAGAGCAACACAAAUUAUAUAUGUAUAAAAUUAUAUAUAUAUGUAUCAUCAAAAAUAAAGGGCAAAAAAUUAGAAAAUGCAGUAAAUAAAAAAACAUGAUUAGGUACAACACAAAUGUUAAAUCUUUAAUAAUCAGAGCAAAAAAAUAAAAAUAGCAGUAAAUUAAAAAAAAUUGAAACUGCAGUAAAUAAAAAUGUUAAAAAUUANUAAAAAAACAUGAUUAGGUACAACACAAAUGUUAAAUCUUUAAUAAUCAGAGCAAAAAAAUAAAAUUAGCAGUAAAUUAAAAAAAAUUGAAACUGCAGUAAAUAAAAAUGUUAAAAAUUACAGUAAAGAAAAAAAUAAAUAAAAACUACAAUAAAUCAGAGACGAAAAAAUUUAUUUGCAAACCUUGUCAACUACGAUAGGGAAGGAGAUGGAAACGGAAUGCGAGAUCUGAGAUCGAAAAAGAUGAAUGGUUAGAGACAGAAGGAAGGAUUGAAGAAACAAAAUAUGAAAAAAAAAAAAAGAUAAAUAAUAUAAACCUAAUAGUCACCAAAGAUGAAGAAGCGGGCUUAAGAAGAUCAGGGGCGAAGGAGAUGGAGUAGGUGGGCUCAACAAUGCUCUGGGGGUGAAAGAAAAAUGAGGGAGAAAUUUUUUUUUUUUUUCUGUGGGGUCUGCUAAGAAAAAAAAAAUGGCGAGAGUUGGUGGGAGGAGAGGAAAGGGUAAAGAAUGGAGAGAGUAGGGUCGGGAGGAGAGAGAAGGGUAGAGUAUGGGUAGAGUUGGGUCGGUAACCCUAACACAUUACCCACUCUUGCUUUAUUUUCGACUUCACCGAAAUUGACUUCGCCCCCGUGGGAGGGCGAAGUCAAUUUCACCUUUUUGGGUGAACUGGACUUUCGGGCGUAAUAAAAUUACGGUGAACCAAACAACGGAAGUGAUUAGUUUUCACUGAAAAUUACUUUCCCCUUCCCACUUCCACCCCACUUUCGUACAAACAAACAGACCCUUAUUGGUUGCUGAUUGGUGAAUGUAGGUUGUGGUUGAGAUCCUGAUGUAUUGUUGGUACGCCGUGCAAAUACAAAGAAGACUCUGUCCGAGUGGAUAGAGGAACUUUGUAUUUGUGGCGGGUC
RNAcentral lists this long non-coding RNA (1730 nucleotides) under Ananas comosus (pineapple). Its description in RNAcentral is "long non-coding RNA (ACOM_LNC026513)". Lineage: Eukaryota; Viridiplantae; Streptophyta; Magnoliopsida; Poales; Bromeliaceae. The record is from RNAcentral.